CUGGUACAAAGGGUUGCCAACCGCGAGGGGGAGCCAAUCCCAUAAAGCCAGUCGUAGUCCGGAUCGUAGUCUGCAACUCGACUACGUGAAGUCGGAAUCGCUAGUAAUCGUGGAUCAGAAUGUCACGGUGAAUACGUUCCCGGGUCUU
This 148-nucleotide ribosomal RNA is filed under the name uncultured Rhodoferax sp. RNAcentral describes it as "partial 16S ribosomal RNA". It matches the Rfam family "Bacterial small subunit ribosomal RNA", at positions 1234 to 1382 of the family's 1533-position model. Lineage: Bacteria; Pseudomonadati; Pseudomonadota; Betaproteobacteria; Burkholderiales; Comamonadaceae. The record is from RNAcentral.